This is a long non-coding RNA of Columba livia (rock pigeon), 415 nucleotides long. RefSeq lists it as uncharacterized. The transcript is spliced from 2 exons. The record is from RefSeq and is a predicted model, not a curated record. NCBI's taxonomy places the organism in Eukaryota, Metazoa, Chordata, Aves, Columbiformes, Columbidae.
GGAUGGGAUGGAGAGGGGACCAAAACAUGUCCCUGGGGAGGGAUGGGAUGGAGAGGACACCAAAAUGUGUCCCUGGGGAAGGAUGGGAUGGGGAGGGGAGCAGUGGCAGAGCAUGACGCACAACACGCACACGUGUGACAUCAAGCCGUCACCCAGGGUGACGUCAUGCCACAGAGGAUGACCUGAUGUCACCCAUGGAGAUGCCACCGCAGCGGGUCCCCUCCGACCCCCUGGGUCACCCCGGUGUCCCCAUCACCAGCUCAGGGUCCCCAAGGAGGUGCCGCAGCCACAGUCCAGGGGGUGCAUCGCUCCUCCCCAGCACCUCUCCCCAAAUUCAGCAUCUGCUGGAGUUUUCCUCUGGGUGUCAUGAGCUGGGAUGGGAAAACAGAACCAUUAAACAUGUGUGGUGGUUUGG